Molecule: ribosomal RNA, 954 nt
Filed under: uncultured Campylobacterota bacterium
Lineage: Bacteria; Pseudomonadati; Campylobacterota
Description: bacterial SSU rRNA
Rfam family: Bacterial small subunit ribosomal RNA
Source: RNAcentral
GUAAACUCCUUUUAUAUCCCAAGAUAAUGACGGUAGGAUAUGAAUAAGCACCGGCUAACUCCGUGCCAGCAGCCGCGGUAAUACGGAGGGUGCAAGCGUUACUCGGAAUCACUGGGCGUAAAGGAUGCGUAGGCGGAUAAUCAAGUCGAAAGUGAAAUCCUACAGCUUAACUGUAGAACUGCUUUCGAAACUGGUUAUCUAGAAUAUGGAAGAGGCAGAUGGAAUUAGUGGUGUAGGGGUAAAAUCCGUAGAGAUCACUAGGAAUACCGAUUGCGAAGGCGAUCUGCUGGGACAUUAUUGACGCUGAGGCAUGAAAGCGUGGGGAGCAAACAGGAUUAGAUACCCUGGUAGUCCACGCCCUAAACGAUGCACACUAGUUGUUGCGAUGCUCGUCAUUGCAGUAAUACAGUUAACACAUUAAGUGUGCCGCCUGGGAGUACGGUCGCAAGAUUAAAACUCAAAGGAAUAGACGGGGACCCGCACAAGUGGUGGAGCAUGUGGUUUAAUUCGAAGAUACGCGAAGAACCUUACCUAGCCUUGACAUAUAUUAGAACUCACCAGAGAUGGAGAGGUGCCUUCGGGAGCUUUUAUACAGGUGCUGCACGGCUGUCGUCAGCUCGUGUCGUGAGAUGUUGGGUUAAGUCCCGCAACGAGCGCAACCCUCGUCACUAGUUACUAACGGUUCGGCCGAGGACUCUAGUGAGACUGCCUUCGUAAGGAGGAGGAAGGUGAGGACGACGUCAAGUCAUCAUGGCCCUUACGGCUAGGGCAACACACGUGCUACAAUGGCCAGGACAGUGAGAAGCGAUACCGCGAGGUGGAGCAAAUCUAUAAACCUGGUCUCAGUUCGGAUUGUAGUCUGCAACUCGACUACAUGAAGCUGGAAUCACUAGUAAUCGUAGAUCAGCUAUGCUACGGUGAAUACGUUCCCGGGUCUUGCACUCACCGCCCGUC